RNAcentral lists this ribosomal RNA (408 nucleotides) under uncultured bacterium. Its description in RNAcentral is "bacterial SSU rRNA". It matches the Rfam family "Bacterial small subunit ribosomal RNA", at positions 29 to 479 of the family's 1533-position model. The record is from RNAcentral.
AACGAACGCUGGCGGCAUGCCUAACACAUGCAAGUCGAACGAAGCCUUCGGGCUUAGUGGCGCACGGGUGCGUAACGCGUGGGAAUCUGCCCUUGGGUUCGGAUAACAGUUAGAAAUGACUGCUAAUACCCGGAUGAUGUCUUCGGACCAAAGAUUUAUCGCCCAAGGAUGAGCCCGCGUAGGAUUAGGUAGUUGGUGGGGUAAAAGGCCUACCAAGCCGACGAUCCUUAGCUGGUCUGAGAGGAUGAUCAGCCACACUGGGACUGAGACACGGCCCAGACUCCUACGGAGGCAGCAGUGGGGAAUAUUUGGGACAAUGGGGGAAACCCUGAUCCAGCAAUGCCGCGUGAGUGAUGAAGGCCUUAGGGUCGUAAAGCUCUUUUACCCGAGAGUGAUAAUGACAGUAUC